Molecule: ribosomal RNA, 513 nt
Filed under: uncultured bacterium
Lineage: Bacteria
Description: partial 16S ribosomal RNA
Rfam family: Bacterial small subunit ribosomal RNA
Source: RNAcentral
GACGAACGCUGGCGGCGUGCCUAAUACAUGCAAGUAGAACGCUGACUACUUUAGCUUGCUAGAGUAGAAGGAGUUGCGAACGGGUGAGUAACGCGUAGGUAACCUGCCUACUAGCGGGGGAUAACUAUUGGAAACGAUCGCUAAUACCGCAUAACAGUGUUUAACACAUGUUCGCUGCUUGAAAGAUGCAAUUGCAUCACUAGUAGAUGGACCUGCGUUGUAUUAACUAGUUGGUGGGGUAACGGCCCACCAAGGCGACGAUACAUAGCCGACCUGAGGGGGUGUGCGGCCACACUGGAACUGAGACACGGCCCAGACUCCUACGGGAGGCAGCAGUAGGGAAUCUUCGGCAAUGGGGGCAACCCUGACCAAGCAACGCCGCGUGAGUGAAGAAGGUUUUCGGAUCGUAAAGCUCUGUUGUAAGAGAAGAACGUGUGUGAGAGUGGAAAGUUCACACAGUGACGGUAACUUACCAGAAAGGGACGGCUAACUACGUGCCAGCCGCCGCCGUAA